AUUGAACGCUGGCGGCAGGCCUAACACAUGCAAGUCGAACGGUAACAGGAAGAAGCUUGCUUCUUUGCUGACGAGUGGCGGACGGGUGAGUAAUGUCUGGGAAACUGCCUGAUGGAGGGGGAUAACUACUGGAAACGGUAGCUAAUACCGCAUAACGUCGCAAGACCAAAAAGGGGGACCUUCGGGCCUCUUGCCAUCGGAUGUGCCCAGAUGGGAUUAGCUAGUAGGUGGGGUAACGGCUCACCUAGGCGACGAUCCCUAGCUGGUCUGAGAGGAUGACCAUCCACACUGGAACUGAGACACGGUCCAGACUCCUACGGGAGGCAGCAGUGGGGAAUAUUGCACAAUGGGCGCAAGCCUGAUGCAGCCAUGCCGCGUGUAUGAAGAAGGCCUUCGGGUUGUAAAGUACUUUCAGCGGGGAGGAAGGGAGUAAAGUUAAUACCUUGGCUCAUUGACGUUACCCGCAGAAGAAGCACCGGCUAACUCCGUG
Molecule: ribosomal RNA, 490 nt
Filed under: uncultured bacterium
Lineage: Bacteria
Description: partial 16S ribosomal RNA
Rfam family: Bacterial small subunit ribosomal RNA
Source: RNAcentral